GCAGAGAUGGCUUGGUGGGUAAAGUGCAUGGUUUUCAAGCAUGAGAACCUGAGUUCAGAUUCCUAGUGUUUGCA
This 74-nucleotide transfer RNA is filed under the name Rattus norvegicus (Norway rat). It matches the Rfam family "tRNA". From Rfam's summary of the family: Transfer RNA (tRNA) molecules are approximately 80 nucleotides in length. The record is from Rfam by way of RNAcentral. Lineage: Eukaryota; Metazoa; Chordata; Mammalia; Rodentia; Muridae.